RNAcentral lists this ribosomal RNA (253 nucleotides) under uncultured bacterium. RNAcentral describes it as "partial 16S ribosomal RNA". It matches the Rfam family "Bacterial small subunit ribosomal RNA", at positions 524 to 776 of the family's 1533-position model. The record is from RNAcentral.
UACGGAGGGUGCAAGCGUUGUCCGGAUUUAUUGGGCUUAAAGGGUGCGUAGGUGGGUUCUCAAGUCUGGUUUGAAAGUUAGCUGCUCAACAGUUAGACGUGACUGGAAACUGGGGUUCUGGAAUGGGGUGGCGGCUGCCGGAACGCGUCAUGUAGCGGUGAAAUGCAUAGAUAUGUCGCGGAACACCGAUUGCGAAGGCAGGCAGCUACGACCUGAUUGACACUGAGGCACGAGAGCAUGGGUAGCGAACAGG